ACUCCUACGGGAGGCAGCAGUGGGGAAUAUUGCACAAUGGGCGCAAGCCUGAUGCAGCCAUGCCGCGUGUAUGAAGAAGGCCUUCGGGUUGUAAAGUACUUUCAGCAGUGAGGAAGGUGGAUAUGUUAAUAGCAUAUUCUAUUUGUACGUUAGCUGCAGAAGAAGCACCGGCUAACUCCGUGCCAGCAGCCGCGGUAAUACGGAGGGUGCGAGCGUUAAUCGGAAUUACGUGGGCGUAAAGCGCAUGCAGGUGGUUUGUUAAGUCAGAUGUGAAAGCCCGGGGCUCAACCUCGGAAUUGCAUUUGAAACUGGCAAACUAGAGUACUGUAGAGGGGUAGAAUUUCGAGUGUAGCGGUGAAAUGCGUAGAGAUCUGAAGGAAUACCGGUGGCGAACGGCGGCCCCCGUGGACAGAUACUGACACUCAGAUGCGAAAGCGUGGGAGCAAACAGGAUUAG
This 456-nucleotide ribosomal RNA is filed under the name uncultured bacterium. RNAcentral describes it as "bacterial SSU rRNA". It matches the Rfam family "Bacterial small subunit ribosomal RNA", at positions 335 to 781 of the family's 1533-position model. The record is from RNAcentral.